CCUACGGGGGGCAGCAGUGGGGAAUAUUGGACAAUGGGGGGAACCCUGAUCCAGCCAUGCCGCGUGUGUGAAGAAGGCCCUCGGGUUGUAAAGCACUUUCAGUGAGGAAGAACGCCUGGUGGUUAAUACCCAUCAGGAAAGACAUCACGCACAGAAGAAGCACCGGCUAACUCCGUGCCAGCAGCCGCGGUAAUACGGAGGGUGCGAGCGUUAAUCGGAAUUACUGGGCGUAAAGCGCGCGUAGGUGGCUUGAUAAGCCGGUUGUGAAAGCCCCGGGCUCAACCUGGGAACGGCAUCCGGAACUGUCAAGCUAGAGUGCAGGAGAGGAAGGUAGAAUUCCCGGUGUAGCGGUGAAAUGCGUAGAGAUCGGGAGGAAUACCAGUGGCGAAGGCGGCCUUCUGGACUGACACUGACACUGAGGUGCGAAAGCGUGGGUAGCAAACAGGAUUAGAUACCCCUGUAGUC
RNAcentral lists this ribosomal RNA (465 nucleotides) under Vreelandella stevensii. RNAcentral's name for it is "partial 16S ribosomal RNA". It matches the Rfam family "Bacterial small subunit ribosomal RNA", at positions 338 to 795 of the family's 1533-position model. Lineage: Bacteria; Pseudomonadati; Pseudomonadota; Gammaproteobacteria; Oceanospirillales; Halomonadaceae. The record is from RNAcentral.